UUCUGCUGGAUUGUGCCACCAC
RNAcentral lists this unclassified non-coding RNA (22 nucleotides) under Mus musculus (house mouse). Its description in RNAcentral is "oocyte_clustered_small_RNA10288". The record is from RNAcentral. Lineage: Eukaryota; Metazoa; Chordata; Mammalia; Rodentia; Muridae.